RNAcentral lists this ribosomal RNA (2639 nucleotides) under Klebsiella pneumoniae. RNAcentral describes it as "bacterial LSU rRNA". It matches the Rfam family "Bacterial large subunit ribosomal RNA". The record is from RNAcentral. Lineage: Bacteria; Pseudomonadati; Pseudomonadota; Gammaproteobacteria; Enterobacterales; Enterobacteriaceae.
ACUAUCGUUAACUGAAUACAUAGGUUAACGAGGCGAACCGGGGGAACUGAAACAUCUAAGUACCCCGAGGAAAAGAAAUCAACCGAGAUUCCCCCAGUAGCGGCGAGCGAACGGGGAGCAGCCCAGAGUCUGAAUCAGCUUGUGUGUUAGUGGAACGGUCUGGAAAGUCCGACGGUACAGGGUGAUAGUCCCGUACACCAAAAUGCACAGGCUGUGAACUCGAAGAGUAGGGCGGGACACGUGGUAUCCUGUCUGAAUAUGGGGGGACCAUCCUCCAAGGCUAAAUACUCCUGACUGACCGAUAGUGAACCAGUACCGUGAGGGAAAGGCGAAAAGAACCCCGGCGAGGGGAGUGAAAAAGAACCUGAAACCGUGUACGUACAAGCAGUGGGAGCACCUUCGGGUGUGACUGCGUACCUUUUGUAUAAUGGGUCAGCGACUUAUAUUCUGUAGCAAGGUUAACCGUAUAGGGGAGCCGCAGGGAAACCGAGUCUUAACUGGGCGUUAAGUUGCAGGGUAUAGACCCGAAACCCGGUGAUCUAGCCAUGGGCAGGUUGAAGGUUGGGUAACACUAACUGGAGGACCGAACCGACUAAUGUUGAAAAAUUAGCGGAUGACUUGUGGCUGGGGGUGAAAGGCCAAUCAAACCGGGAGAUAGCUGGUUCUCCCCGAAAGCUAUUUAGGUAGCGCCUCGUGAACUCAUCUUCGGGGGUAGAGCACUGUUUCGGCUAGGGGGUCAUCCCGACUUACCAACCCGAUGCAAACUACGAAUACCGAAGAAUGUUAUCACGGGAGACACACGGCGGGUGCUAACGUCCGUCGUGAAGAGGGAAACAACCCAGACCGCCAGCUAAGGUCCCAAAGUCAUGGUUAAGUGGGAAACGAUGUGGGAAGGCACAGACAGCCAGGAUGUUGGCUUAGAAGCAGCCAUCAUUUAAAGAAAGCGUAAUAGCUCACUGGUCGAGUCGGCCUGCGCGGAAGAUGUAACGGGGCUAAACCAUGCACCGAAGCUGCGGCAGCGACACUAUGUGUUGUUGGGUAGGGGAGCGUUCUGUAAGCCUGCGAAGGUGUGCUGUGAGGCAUGCUGGAGGUAUCAGAAGUGCGAAUGCUGACAUAAGUAACGAUAAAGCGGGUGAAAAGCCCGCUCGCCGGAAGACCAAGGGUUCCUGUCCAACGUUAAUCGGGGCAGGGUGAGUCGACCCCUAAGGCGAGGCCGAAAGGCGUAGUCGAUGGGAAACAGGUUAAUAUUCCUGUACUUGGUGUUACUGCGAAGGGGGGACGGAGAAGGCUAUGUUAGCCGGGCGACGGUUGUCCCGGUUUAAGCAUGUAGGCUGGUUGUCCAGGCAAAUCCGGAUAAUCAAGGCUGAGGUGUGAUGACGAGGCACUACGGUGCUGAAGUAACAAAUGCCCUGCUUCCAGGAAAAGCCUCUAAGCAUCAGGUAACAUCAAAUCGUACCCCAAACCGACACAGGUGGUCAGGUAGAGAAUACCAAGGCGCUUGAGAGAACUCGGGUGAAGGAACUAGGCAAAAUGGUGCCGUAACUUCGGGAGAAGGCACGCUGGUGUGUAGGUGAAGUCCCUGCGGAUGGAGCUGAGACCAGUCGAAGAUACCAGCUGGCUGCAACUGUUUAUUAAAAACACAGCACUGUGCAAACACGAAAGUGGACGUAUACGGUGUGACGCCUGCCCGGUGCCGGAAGGUUAAUUGAUGGGGUUAUCCGUAAGGAGAAGCUCUUGAUCGAAGCCCCGGUAAACGGCGGCCGUAACUAUAACGGUCCUAAGGUAGCGAAAUUCCUUGUCGGGUAAGUUCCGACCUGCACGAAUGGCGUAAUGAUGGCCAGGCUGUCUCCACCCGAGACUCAGUGAAAUUGAACUCGCUGUGAAGAUGCAGUGUACCCGCGGCAAGACGGAAAGACCCCGUGAACCUUUACUAUAGCUUGACACUGAACAUUGAGCCUUGAUGUGUAGGAUAGGUGGGAGGCUUUGAAGCGUGGACGCCAGUCUGCGUGGAGCCAACCUUGAAAUACCACCCUUUAAUGUUUGAUGUUCUAACGUUGGCCCCUUACCGGGGUUGCGGACAGUGUCUGGUGGGUAGUUUGACUGGGGCGGUCUCCUCCCAAAGCGUAACGGAGGAGCACGAAGGUUAGCUAAUCCUGGUCGGACAUCAGGAGGUUAGUGCAAUGGCAUAAGCUAGCUUGACUGCGAGCGUGACGGCGCGAGCAGGUGCGAAAGCAGGUCAUAGUGAUCCGGUGGUUCUGAAUGGAAGGGCCAUCGCUCAACGGAUAAAAGGUACUCCGGGGAUAACAGGCUGAUACCGCCCAAGAGUUCAUAUCGACGGCGGUGUUUGGCACCUCGAUGUCGGCUCAUCACAUCCUGGGGCUGAAGUAGGUCCCAAGGGUAUGGCUGUUCGCCAUUUAAAGUGGUACGCGAGCUGGGUUUAGAACGUCGUGAGACAGUUCGGUCCCUAUCUGCCGUGGGCGCUGGAGAAUUGAGGGGGGCUGCUCCUAGUACGAGAGGACCGGAGUGGACGCAUCACUGGUGUUCGGGUUGUCAUGCCAAUGGCACUGCCCGGUAGCUAAAUGCGGAAGAGAUAAGUGCUGAAAGCAUCUAAGCACGAAACUUGCCCCGAGAUGAGUUCU